CACAGCACGCGGUAGCAGAGGUGCUGCGAUACGCUGUGUAGUAUCAUAUCACAGUUCUUUGCUACCUCGUGCUUCGCA
This is a non-coding RNA of Ascaris suum (pig roundworm), 78 nucleotides long. The record is from Rfam. NCBI's taxonomy places the organism in Eukaryota, Metazoa, Nematoda, Chromadorea, Rhabditida, Ascarididae.